GACGAACGCUGGCGGCGUGCUUAACACAUGCAAGUCGAACGGUGAAACUCUUCGGAGGGGAUCAGUGGCGAACGGGUGAGUAACACGUGGGCAACCUGCUCCCGGCUCUGGGAUAACUACAUGAAAUUGGGGCUACUACCGGCUGUUCACCGCUUCCCGCAUGGGUGGUGGUGGAAAGGGUUUCAGGCUGGGGAUGGGCCCGCGGCCUAGCAGCUUGUUGGUGGGGUAGUGGGCUACCAAGGCGACGACGGGUAGCCGGCCUGGGAGGGUGACCGGCCUCACGGGGACUGCGGCACGGCGCAGACGGCAACGGUGGGCAGCAGUGGGGAACAUUGCGCAGUGGGCGGAAGCCUGACGCAGCGACGCCGCGUGGGGGAUGACGGCCUUCGGGUUGUAAACCUCUUUCAGCAGGGACGAAGCGGAAGUGACGGUACCUGCAGAAGAAGCACCGGCCAACUACGUG
This 463-nucleotide ribosomal RNA is filed under the name uncultured bacterium. RNAcentral's name for it is "partial 16S ribosomal RNA". It matches the Rfam family "Bacterial small subunit ribosomal RNA", at positions 28 to 507 of the family's 1533-position model. The record is from RNAcentral.